This 361-nucleotide ribosomal RNA is filed under the name uncultured bacterium. Its description in RNAcentral is "partial 16S ribosomal RNA". It matches the Rfam family "Bacterial small subunit ribosomal RNA", at positions 338 to 716 of the family's 1533-position model. The record is from RNAcentral.
CCUACGGGAGGCAGCAGUGGGGAAUAUUGCACAAUGGGGGAAACCCUGAUGCAGCGACGCCGCGUGAGUGAAGAAGUAUUUCGGGAUGUAAAGCUCUAGCAGCAGGGAAGAAAAUGACGGUACCUGAAUAAGAAGGCCCGGCGAACGACGUGCCAGCAGCCGCGGGAAUACGUAGGGGGCAAGCGUUAUCCGGAUUGACUGGGUGGAAAGGGAGCGUAGAAGGCAGCACAAGUCUGGAGUGAAAUGCCGGGGCUUAACCCCGGAACUGCUUUGGAAACUUUGCAGCUAUAGGGCAGGAGCGGUCAGUGCCCUUCCUAGUGUAGCUGUGAAAUGCGUAGCUAUUAGGAGUAACACCAGUUGC